Molecule: ribosomal RNA, 254 nt
Filed under: uncultured bacterium
Lineage: Bacteria
Description: partial 16S ribosomal RNA
Rfam family: Bacterial small subunit ribosomal RNA
Source: RNAcentral
UACGUAGGUGGCAAGCGUUGUCCGGAUUUAUUGGGUUUAAAGGGUGCGUAGGCGGCCCUGUAAGUCAGUGCUGAAAUAUCCCAGCUUAACUGGGAGGGUGGCAUUGAUACUGCGGGGCUAGAGUACAGAUGAGGUAGGCGGAAUUGACGGUGUAGCGGUGAAAUGCUUAGAUAUCGUCAAGAACACCUAUAGCGAAGGCAGCUUACUAGGCUGUAACUGACGCUGAGGGCACGAAAGCGUGGGGAGCAAACAGG